Long non-coding RNA from Rattus norvegicus (Norway rat), 8903 nucleotides. RefSeq lists it as uncharacterized. The record is from RefSeq and is a predicted model, not a curated record. NCBI's taxonomy places the organism in Eukaryota, Metazoa, Chordata, Mammalia, Rodentia, Muridae.
UCCUCCUCCUCCUCCUCUUUGUCCUCCUCUUCCUCCUCUUCUUCCUCCUCCUCCUCUUCCUCCUCCUCCUCCUCCUCCUCUUUGUCCUCCUCUUCCUCCUCCUCCUCUUCCUCCUCCUCCUCUUCCUCCUCCUCCUCUUCCUCCUCCUCCUCCACUUCCUCCUCCUCCUCCACCUCCUCCUCCUUCUCCUUCUUCUUCUGGUGAGAGAGGCUGAGGUACAUACACAGGUAGCUUCUCAGAUGACAUCAGGAAGGGACGAGCCACUGAGGUAUAGGUAUGUCGUGACCUUGAUGUUGUGCUGUGACUGUGUGUGCAUGUCUGGACUUUACAGUGAACUUAACUGAGCUAGACCAUUCAUGAACCCAACUGUUGCUCCUCCUGUGUUGCUGGGCUGUAGGAGAAGGCUCAGUAAGUAAAGAGCUUCCCACUGUGUGAGCAUGAGCACCUGAGUUCCACCUGUAGAACCCAUGGGAAGAACUGGGCACAGCAACACAUGCUGAUAAUUCCUGCCCUGGAUGGAGGGGGUAGAGACAGGCAGGUCCUUCCGUAUUGCUGACCAGCCAGUCAUCUUGUGGAGCCGAACUGAAGUCUCCCUCUCAGAAAGAAGGUGGGUGACCCCUGAGGAACCACAUUUGAACUUGUCUGGCCUCUACAUAAAUGUACAUAUAAAUACAUAUGUGUGCAAACACACACACACACACACACACACACACACACACACACACACACACACACCUAGCUAUGGCAUUUUACUACCAAGGCACAUAAAAUUGAAAAUGAAUACUGUCACCCCCUCUAAGUCAUUCUUUAUUGUUGGGAAGAAACCCUUCUCCAUUUACCUAUAAGUUCACAAUGACAGACUCCAGGACUCAGCACAGACUGUGGCUAAGAACACUUCUCUCUCUCUCUCUCUCUCUCUCUCUCUCUCUCUCUCUCUCUCUCUCUCUCUAGCAUCUAAGAAUAUGGAGGAUAAAGACUACAGUAUCUGACUUCCUUUAGUUGAUAACAAAACACCCACUCUCUCAGCUUACUUGGGCCACUGCAGCUGUUUCUCAGCUGUCUCAGCCAAGUGUAUCCCUGAGCUAUGCUGCCGGCCCAUCCUGUGCGUGGCUCCCCUCCUCCAGCUUCCGGGGAAACAGCUGUGCGAGCACGUCCUGUCCCACACUCCAGGCUCACCUACAGUGGGCUUUGUUGACAAGGUUAUGUCUCUCACAAGAGAACGCUGAGGACACUGUCUCAUGACUACCUAUCACUAAUGAACCAUCCUAAAAGUAAAGGCCAAGAGCUGUGACAGUCCCUUAUAAUCUCUCAUCCACUGUCAGACAGUAUGGGCUCAACUGCGAUCCCUCAGAUCCAAGGUGGCUCCCUUCCCCAGUCUGUCACAGGUAAGGGAUGGCUAGAAGGCUGGAAUUUCUCCAUUCUAAAAGUUUUAUCUUUUAUUUAUGUGCACGUGGAUGCCCAGAGAGCCCAGAGGUCGUGUCAGGUGCCCUGCAGCUGGAGUUACACACACGUGGUUGUGACGUGCCCGACACGGUUGCUAGGAACUAAAUUCAGCUCCCCUGGAAGAUGAGUGAUGCUCUUAACCGCAGAGCCAUUUCUCCAGCUUCUGGAGCUGCUGUCUAAAUAGCUAACCCGAGCUUGCACCCACAGCAUGUGGCUCCACAGAAGCAAGCAUCUGAAAAGGCAAGAACCAGCAGGCACAGGCUAAGCCAACAAAUGGACUUAGCAGGAUUCAAGGAAAAGGGAAAUGAUGUACCCCACUUCUUGAUAGAGAAGGACAAGAAAAGUGCUCCUCUGCUGUUUUCAGUUCCUGAUGAGACAGCAUCCUGUGGAUCGCAAGCUCCCUGGAAACUUAGGUUGUAGCCAAGAAUAACUCUGAACGGAUCACUCUCCAGUCCCUACCUCUCAAAUACCAGGAUCACAGGAAUUUAUCAGUGUAUCUGGUUGGGACCAAGGGCUUCGUGGGUCCUAGGCAAACACUAGAUCUAUCAACUGAGCAAGCUCCCUAGUCUGUUGUCCUAUUUUGAAUUUCAAAAGGUGCCGUAGAUGUGAUCUGUAACUGUGAUCUUCUGGCUAUAUCAAGAACAUAGAUCAAGGCCGGGAAGGCCUUCCUAGAGGACAGAAAAUGGUACAGUUAAGGCUAACAGAAUAGGUAAGCACAUCUGUGAACCUGUUAAGUAGCUACAAAACUGGUUCUGCAGCCACUCAGGACGCACACAGACUUUGGCAUCCUAAGAAUGUACCACAGGAAAACAAACAAAAGGAGUUUUAGUUAACCCUGAAGGCUGUAGCCCUUAGAGCUCCUUACAGAAAUCACAGCGGGAGCACAACGCUAUACAGAAUGUGAAAGGGAAACAAAAGGUCGUCUCCUACAGUGUGUGUGUGUGUGUGUGUGUGUGUGAGAGAGAGAGAGAGAGAGAGAGAGAGAGAGAGAGAGAACGUAAAAUCCAGAAGGAGAGAUGGGAGUCUAGGCCAAUCUCAUUUCUCUGAAAAUGUGACUGCCUCCUAUUUUUAAAACAGUCAACGCUGGAGUCUGGAAAGAUAAGGCUUAGCAGUUAAGAUCACUCUGAUCUUUCAAAGGACCUGAAUUCAUUCCCAGCACCCACAGUGGACUGCUCACAACUCCUGUAAGUCUAGAGGCUCUGUUGCCAUCUUCUGGCCUCACUGGUUGUCUAAACACAUGGGAUGUAUGCACUUACAUACUCAUGCACAUGCAAAUCCAUGUAACUUCCUGUCUCUUCUCAUGCUCACUUCCUUGGGCAUGUGUAUGAGAACACACGCAUACAGAUAUUUCACUUAUCGGGGUCUCUUUGCUACUGGUAAGAACCGCAGUCCCUUCUGUCUUCUUUAAUAUUUGUACCUCCACAGACUUCCCCGAGCCUAGGAUGUCAAACAGAUUCAGAAGUGUCACCUAGCGGGACUGACUCCUGGUAGCCACAACAGGUAAGUCACAAGUUGGCCUUGAUUUAUUCCUUCUUCCCUGUUGUUGGUACUGGUGACUGAAGUAAGUAUUCAUUUCCUUCUGUUUGUAACAAUGCACAGUUACUCUCUACUUAUAAGGGUUUAAAAAAUAAACAUUUACUUAGGUUUUACUCUUUAGUGAAGAAUUCGUGACCAGUACAGACUUGUAGUCUAUGUUUGGUAAAAAUUAAUAACGUCCACUCUUAACACAAAUAAGUCCGGGAAGAAAAAAACAUAUAAAUGUUCCUAAGGAACACUGACAAGUAUAAAGGAAGUAUAAGAUAUGAAAAGCGUUAGACUUUUUUCUAUUUUUCAGAGACUCCAUUUACUUUCUGUCCCAAGGAUGAUGUCCGAUACACAGCAAGCCGCAGUCAUAGGUCUGAAGGUAAAAUUUGCUGACAAUCUCAUUUCAAGCACAUCCAAAAUUAGCAACUAAUUCUCUCCACAUGCUUUAUUAAUAGACUCCUGAAACUCGGAGAUUGGAGAGAACCACAGUCGGCAUUCGGUCGGCAAACCUCAUGGACUGAGGAGAAACACAUUCUAAUAUAAUCAUUACCAACAGCAAAACCUGAUAACCCUGACCCAGACACUCCUCAAUCAGGAGCCGGUGUGGGAUGGGGAUCCCAACCCCCGACGCUGUUUGGUUUAGAUUAUAAUCUCCACAAUUUACCCCCACCUCAGGCUACGUGGUAUGAGUAGUCUGAAAUAAUCUAGGGUUGAGGAUAUAGCUCAGCUGGUAGAGUGCUUAACCAGCAUGAUGAAGCUGCGGGUCUGAUGCUCGAAACUCCAUACACUGGGCCUCCUUAUAAUCCCAGCACUCGGUGCUGGAGUCAAAAAGACCAGAGUCCCAGAUCAACCUGGGCUACAUGAGAGCUUGCCUCAAAAUAACGAACAGAAUCAUCUGUUACAUCUACUUUUACAACUAUUUUUUUUUCCAGGCAUACUUCUGAAAGAGUGACUUAAAAUUGGGCUUGAUGAAGACGAGAGAGAACAGUUUUUAAGAAAUACAAUGAAAGGAAAGGCAGCCAUUACCCAAAAGCAAUCUUACUGUGUGGCCCUUUAUAAAAACAAAUAAGCCUCGGCCUCUCUCCAAAGACCUGUAAACUAAAGUUAUAAAAAUAAAAGUGAGACAUAAAAUUAAAAUAAAUUUUUUUUAUUGAUCCCCGGGACUCCUCCAUUACAGGAGAAAAGUCAUUAAUUCUGAAAGGAUGACCUGCCUUACCAAAAAAUAUAAAUUAAAGACCCCUUUGUUGAUAACGCCUCAGCAGAGAGAUUUGCUGCAAAUUCAAUCCUUAAACAUCUGUGAGGAAUUCUUGUCUUCUCUUUCAGAGGGAGCAAUAACAAAAAGUUAAUAUUUAUUCAUGGUUAUUAAGCAUUAAUAAGGGCAGUCACCAUGGCUUGAGAUAAAUGGGGUCAAAGGAGCCUGCUGAAUUUGUGCCUCUACCCUUCUAAAAAUCCGAGUCUAGAGAUGCUUGAUGAAGACAAAGAGGGAAGAACUAGAAAAGAGACACGAAGAAAGGCAGAAGACGGCAGCACGCACUUUAUUCAAAACUAUUGCACCCUGCCUCCUGGCCUUUAUGAUCUCGCUCCGAUGAACAAUUGCGAUCUGAAGCUUGGGGAGCUGCCUUCUACAUCCUCGGCGAAUGAGAAGCAGCAAAUCACACAAGGCCACCGCUCUGAGAGAUGCACAAGUAGCCCUGGCUCAGCAGAGAACUGACGAUGUGCUCCAAAGUCUCUGAAACCAGGGCUCCGAGGAAGUCAAAAUAGCACUAAGUGUAUACCUAUCUUAUUAGCCCCACCAGCAUUUCUCUCUCUCUCUCUCUCUCUCUCUCUCUCUCUCUGUGUGUGUGUGUGUGUGUGUGUGUGUGUGUGUGUGUGCACGUGCAUGCCUGUGUGUGCAUGUGCCCAUACACGAAGAUGUGUGUGUAAAGCUCAUAUGUGCAUUGGAGUCUGUGUGCAGAGAGGUCAGAGUUCAAUCUCAGGGGUCCUUCAGGUGCAUCUCUUGUUGGCCUAAGCUUUCUGAACAGAUUAGGCUCACUGGCUGGGCACUGAUGGGGUCUGUUGUUUUCCUCAUGUCCAGCUUUUUUACAUGGGAAUUAAGAAUCAAGUUGGAGUUUCUUUUUUUUUUUUUUUUUUUUUUUUUGCAAGAUAAGCAUUUUACCAACUGAGCCAUCUCUCUUGUCCCGGCUUUGCUAACAGAUAGGCUCAGCAACCUUAAGAAUGACCAGAUUAAAUGUCACAAAGGUCACCUGGAGUAACAAACCUGGGACCUGCCUGACACUGUCUACUUAGGACGGCAUCACAGAGAGCUACGUAAGCAUGAGACUAUGGGGCAAUCUGAAAGCUGAGCUGUCCCUGUGUGGUUCCCUCAGUGGAGAUUACAGAGAGCCCAGCAGGAAGAGGGUGGUUUGGGCACCAUCAAGUCCCCUGAGAUCCAAACUUUGGUGGGACCUGCAGAUGUACACUUGGACAAGGGACCACACUAUCUUGUUCAAAAGAGCGACCCGAGGAGCUUGGUCUCUUCCCCCUUUCAGAUUCUGCUUCUGAUAAGAAACCACUUCCCAGCUCGGUCAGAAAUGACAAAAAUCUGACAACCUCCCUUCUCUUUUAAGAAGUGGCAUUGUGAAAGCCACAAAAAUGUGCUCAGCUAAUAUUUGCAGUGUGAGAGAUAACGCAGCUACUGGAAGAAAAGGUACCUGUACACAGGCUCUAGCAGGACAGAAUGGCCUGUCCCUGGCUAGAGGUAGAACCCACUUCCAUUUCCUUCUUACUGUUGGAAACUGAUAAGAAAAAUUAAUUCCUUUACUUCUGCGCUACUCCAGGAGAUAAGCUCUAUUAUGCAGACUUUGAAAAUCCUCACCGGACACCCUGUUGCCUUAAUGCACAGGUGUCCCAUAGGUGUCCUGAAUUUCUUUUGUGGAGCACAUCCCUAUGCCCAGCAAGAGGCACCACAUACCAUGAAGGCUCGAGAGUGAUGAAGGCAGGUACCUUUUUCACAUGUUGCCUUGUGGUUGCGUGACAAAACUUCCAGGAGAGACCCUACAUAUAUAGCUACUCACCUUUGAGAGGGAACCCAAGACAGACCAAAGCAUGGAUACCAACAAAACCCAACUUGGCCAGAGGGGUCAAGCACGCCACAAGAAAACCCAGAGAAUCAACCAACCUGAGCCCACAGGAGCUCACAGAGACUGAACUGCCAACCAGCAGCCUAAGCCCUCCAUACAUAUGUAACAGUUAUGCAGACUGGUCUUCAUGUGGAACUUCUAACAGUGGGAGCGGGGCCUGUCUCUGACUCUGCUGCCUGUCUUUGGGCCUCUUUCCUCCUACUGGGUUGCCUUGUCCAGCCUUAAUAGAAGAGGAGGUGCCUAGUCCUACUGCAACUUGAUAGGCUGUGGCCGGUUGAUACGCACUAAGGCUGGCCCUUUUCUCAAGAGAAUGAGAGGAGGAGUGGAUGAGGCUGGGGGUGGGGGUUGGGGGGUAGGGCAGGGUGGGGCAGGUAGAGGGACUCGGAGGACAGGAUGAGAGGUAACUGCCAUAAACACACAUGCACGCACACAUGCACACACAUAUGAUGCACACACACACACACACACACACACACAUAUGAACACACACAUGCACACCCUACCAAAUGACCCACUCCACAUAUGUGGAAGCAGAAAUGAAGAUCUCCAAAGUUCAACGAGCUAGAUAUAGGGAAGGAGAAAAUGAAGAGACUUCAUUUCCACAGGGUCCCAGACAGGAACCCAGUUAUGACGGUGACAGCACAGAACACUCCCAACAAGUCUUUCCACCGACCCUUUCUGUGUAACUACGGAAAGUCACAGUAACACUCAGAAAGCGUAGAGUCAAGGGUGAGGGUGUGGCUCAGCGUAGGGGCCUCCUUAGCAUGCUAUCACACUACUUCAGCCCCAUCACCUUAGAACAAUGCAGAAGACAAGCCCGUCUUCAUAAAGGCCUCUGCUUAGAUUGGAACUGCAUUUCCACCAACUCCAACAGGUCAAGCCACAGACCUUCAACCUUAGAAUUUAAAAGCAACUAAAUCUUUGAAAACCAUAUCCAUGAAUGAUGCCAUCAGCAACUGCAGUGUAUUAUUUCCAACUUCAAAUUCUCCAACUGUCAAGCAACGUGAUUUUACGACGGUGAGGUUAAGUCAUCUAAACUGUUCACUAAAUCACGAUGGUUGAGGCCACAUGCCCUCUACGGCCUCUUUAAAGGGAUGUAAGAUCAGGAAUAAGGCCAUCUGAGGCCAUGAAGCCAUUUUAGUUGAUAAAGAAGUCCAGAGGGCCUGCUGCUAGUUUACCAUUCACCUGGGAUUAGUUCCAGAAGGAAGUUAAUUAAGAAGUAUCUUAGUUCUGUGAUAUAACAUCCAGUCUGAAACACUGCAUCUGAAAAAGUUCUAGAAUUUUUGGGUUUCGGUGGGGAGGAGGCUAGAGUUUUAAUAUACAUAUUUCAACUAUUUCUGAAUACUUUAAAUAUCUACCCACCUUAAUUAUAAAAGUUUGGACCAAAGCAUUUUUCUUCCUCUCUCAGAGGUUCAUAUAUUGCCCCUGGGGGAAAACUCCAAACGUGAGAUCAUGAAGCUUUAAAAAAUGGGUAGUCAAGGCAAACACACUGUGCACGGGUCAUUAGGUAUGGUUUCUUAAAUCUCUAGAAUGAAAGAGCACUACCUUCUUCCUGGAACAGUGCAUCGAGUGUCUCUCCACUUCUCUAACCCUGCACAACGAAAGCCCUUAAGAAAGGAAGGCUGGUUCACACAGGUGCCCUGUUAUUACAGAGAAGUGAACGUUGCUGGACUCCUGCUGGAUUUCUAGUCAGAUUGAAACACUGGCAGUGUAAACUUUAGGACUUCUGAAAUCCACAUUUUCCUGGAAAAAAAUGUUUAUUCUUUUGCUACCUGGUAGAAUUUCAUCCACUUUACUGAUACAUAAACAUUGGCUAGUCUAGAAAAGUGAGGACAGCUGUAUUGAUGCUUACAGAACCGAUACAAAGUACUUCAUUUACACACACACAAACACACACACACACACACACACACAAAAACAUACACACACACAAACACACACACACAAACACACACACAAACACACACCCACAAACACACAAACACACAAACACACACACACACACACAAUUUUUGUUGAGGAGGAACAUGGGACCUCCCACAUCCUAAACUACAUGUCCAGCCUUAGAGAUACAAAGUAACUCAAUUUUAAAGUUUAACCAGGAUCAUCAAAUCAAUGAAAUCAGGGAUCCUCCAACUUAACACAUACUUUGGUUCCCUUGGCUGAGAGAUAGGAACAUUUGACUCAUAAGUAUCAGAACUGGCUACAGUUCUUGAAUGAUCCCUAUCUAUAAGAAACAGGCAUCUUAUUCAAUCUACUCCACCCUCUAUCCUCUAAAUUAACUUCCUGUUCAAACAUGGCACUGCUAACAGACACUUGGAUUCAAAGCACAACCUCAAACAAACUGACCAGGACAUGGGAAUUACUUGCCCACUCACAUUGGGCACAGAAGCAAACCCUCUCUGUCUCAGCUGGCUCAAACAAGUAAAAGUAAGCCAUCAGGUGAAUUAGGAAGAAAACUCCAUGACAGCAUUGUGCAUACACAACAGACCUGAGAGAGAAGUGUCUGUUACAGGCUUUCAGCAAUCUCCCUAACCAAGAAGCCCACCAUCACCAUUGUCCUUCAGGGCUCCAUCCUUUUAUGCCUCAAGAGGGGUGUGCACUGUGGGCGACUUCUUUCCUCUGGCUGUCUGUUCCAGGCAGCUGGUAGACUUCUACACCUCUCGUGUGAAUUAAAGAAACAGGAAGACUGGGGCUGGGGAUUUAGCUCAGUGAUAGAGCGCUUGCCUAGGAAGCGCAAGGCCCUGGGUUCGGUCCCCAGCUCCGAAAAAAAGAACCAAAAAAAAAAAAAAAAGAAAAGAAAAAGAAAGAAAGAAA